GCAUAUCAAUAAGCGGAGGAAAAGAAAAUAACAAUGAUUCCCUUAGUAACGGCGAGUGAAGGGGGAAAAGCUCAAAUUUUAAAUCGGCAUGGUUCUACCUAGUCGAGUUGUAAUUUGAAGAAGCGUUUUCCGCGUCCAGGUUGGCCCAAAUCCUUUGGGAUAAGGUAUCAUGGAGGGUGAGAAUCCCGUCCGGUUGACCUUUAGGACGCUUUACGAUACGCUCUCAAAGAGUCGAGUUGUUUGGGAUUGCAGCUCAAAAUGGGAGGUAAAUUUCUCCUAAGGCUAAAUACCGGCGAGAGACCGAUAGCGAACAAGUACCGUGAGGGAAAGAUGAAAAGAACUUUGAAAAGAGAGUUAAACAGUACGUGAAAUUGUUGAAAGGGAAACGAUUGAAGUCAGUCGUACCAGCGGGAAAUCAACCUUUCGAGUGGUAUUUUGGAGUUUUUUAAGAGUCUUAAAAACCUUUGAGAUUUCAAAAUUUCUGCUCUUUUGGUGUACUUUCUCGUAUGUAGGUCAACAUCGAUUUUGAUCAUCAUAAAAAGAUUAGAGGAAUGUAGCUUCGAUCUUGUAUUGAAGUGUUAUAGCCUUUGAUAAAUGUGAUGAUCAAGAUCGAGGAUUGCAACGAAUAUCCUUUGGGCUAUCCGUCUGAUCUCUGAUACGUUGCCUUGGUAUCGAAAGCUUGCUUAUGGUAUUAAGGUAUUACGGUCAAAAGGUUAGAACGUGAUUACAUUCGUUAAGGAUGUUGACGUA
RNAcentral lists this ribosomal RNA (750 nucleotides) under uncultured Glomerales. RNAcentral's name for it is "LSU rRNA". It matches the Rfam family "Eukaryotic large subunit ribosomal RNA", at positions 38 to 633 of the family's 3401-position model. Lineage: Eukaryota; Fungi; Glomeromycota; Glomeromycetes; Glomerales; Glomeraceae. The record is from RNAcentral.